UACAGAGGGUGCGAGCGUUAAUCGGAAUUACUGGGCGUAAAGGGCGCGUAGGCGGUGAGAUGUGUGUGAUGUGAAAGCCCUGGGCUUAACCUGGGAAGAGCAUGGCAAACUAUCUGACUGGAGUAUAAGAGAGGGUGGCGGAAUUUCCGGUGUAGCGGUGAAAUGCGUAGAGAUCGGAAGGAACGUCGAUGGCGAAGGCAGCCACCUGGCUUAAUACUGACGCUGAAGCGCGAAAGCGUGGGGAGCGAACAGG
Molecule: ribosomal RNA, 253 nt
Filed under: uncultured bacterium
Lineage: Bacteria
Description: partial 16S ribosomal RNA
Rfam family: Bacterial small subunit ribosomal RNA
Source: RNAcentral